Octopus bimaculoides (California two-spot octopus) is the source of this 102-nucleotide non-coding RNA. NCBI's taxonomy places the organism in Eukaryota, Metazoa, Mollusca, Cephalopoda, Octopoda, Octopodidae. The record is from Rfam.
AUUAGCUUCGGCUGUACAUGAUCUAAACUUGGAACGAUACGGCGUUCAAUUUGGCCCCUGCGCAAAGAUGACAUGCAAAUUUGUGAGGCAUGCCAGAUUUUC